This 85-nucleotide transfer RNA is filed under the name Felis catus (domestic cat). It matches the Rfam family "tRNA". Rfam says of the family: Transfer RNA (tRNA) molecules are approximately 80 nucleotides in length. Lineage: Eukaryota; Metazoa; Chordata; Mammalia; Carnivora; Felidae. The record is from Rfam by way of RNAcentral.
ACCUGGGUGGCUCAGUCGGUUGAGCGUCCGACUUCGGCUCGGGUCAUGAUCUCACGGUUCGUGAGUUCAAGCCCCACAUCGGGCU